UACGUAGGGGGCAAGCGUUGUCCGGAAUUAUUGGGCGUAAAGAGCGUGUAGGCGGUCCGGUAAGUCAGCUGUGAAAGUCAAGGGCUCAACCCUUGAAUGCCGGUUGAUACUGUCGGGCUAGAGUCCGGAAGAGGCGAGUGGAAUUCCCGGUGCGCGGUGAAAUGCGCAGAUAAUCGGGAGGAACACCAAUGGCGAAGGCGGGCUCAC
RNAcentral lists this ribosomal RNA (207 nucleotides) under uncultured bacterium. RNAcentral's name for it is "partial 16S ribosomal RNA". It matches the Rfam family "Bacterial small subunit ribosomal RNA", at positions 524 to 729 of the family's 1533-position model. The record is from RNAcentral.